This 468-nucleotide ribosomal RNA is filed under the name uncultured bacterium. RNAcentral's name for it is "partial 16S ribosomal RNA". It matches the Rfam family "Bacterial small subunit ribosomal RNA", at positions 28 to 507 of the family's 1533-position model. The record is from RNAcentral.
GAUGAACGCUGGCGGCGUGCUUAACACAUGCAAGUCGAACGGAAAGGCCCUGCUUUUGUGGGGUUCUCGUAUGGCGAACGGGUGGGUAACACGUGUGUAAACUGCACUUGUAUUUGGGAUAACUUCAGGAAACUGGGGCUCAUACCGGAUAGGAGCUCCUGCUGCAUAGGGGGGGUUGGAAAGUUUCGGCGGUUGGGGAUGGAUUCGCGGCUUAUCAGCUGGUUGGUGAGGUAGUUGCUUACAAAGGCUUUGACGGAUAGCCGGCCUGGGAGGGGGACCGGCGUCAUGGGGACUGAGGUACGGCCCAGACGCCAACGGGCGGCAGCGGGGGAGAGUAUUGCACAGUGAGCGGGAGCCUGAUACGGCGGCGCCGCGUGCGGGAUGACGUCCUACGAGUUAUAAACCGCUUUCGCCGGAGACGAAGCGUGAGUGACGGUAAUUAGUAAAGAAGCAACGGCUAACUACGUG